Molecule: transfer RNA, 76 nt
Filed under: Gemmatimonadota bacterium
Lineage: Bacteria; Pseudomonadati; Gemmatimonadota
Also listed under: 1 other name
Description: Gemmatimonadetes bacterium tRNA-Asn
Rfam family: tRNA
About the family: Transfer RNA (tRNA) molecules are approximately 80 nucleotides in length. Their secondary structure includes four short double-helical elements and three loops (D, anti-codon, and T loops).
Source: RNAcentral
UCCGGCGUAGCUCAGUUGGCAGAGCGGGUGGCUGUUAACCACCAUGUCGUAGGUUCGAGUCCUACCGCCGGAGCCA